GUUAGUGUAGUGAACACGCCAGAACAGGGGUGUGGAAGCCAAGUGUUCUCUAUUCCAGCUAUGGAAAGUUCAAUGGCAGGUGUGGUCCGAAGCCAACCAGAGGACGCAGGAGAUUGGAGAAGAGCUCUCCUUCCGUUCAGGCUCACGGCAAAGCACGUUGCCUUCUUUCUUUUGCAAAAUAACCACAGGAUACUUCUCAGAGAGAUGCUACGGAGAUGCUUCAGCCUUGAACACCAUGUUCUAAAGCUCUCCAUUGCUGAAGAAAAGGAUUUCCACUCAAUGAAAUCAUGACGCAGAAGAUUAUGCAGUUUGAGUCUCAAGAUGUAAAAGGUCUGAAGAGACUGCAUAUAGGUAGGAACUAACUGAAAAAUAAGAAGAAGGCCUGUGCUAUGAUAUACGUUGAUACAGUGGCAGUCAGGUUAUUUCUUUUCCUUUGUUCCUUUGUUCCUUUGUGUGUGUGCCCUGAAUGAUACAACUUAUUUUCAAUAGAAAUAAAUCAUGCAUCUUCAAA
Long non-coding RNA from Homo sapiens (human), 511 nucleotides. RefSeq lists it as uncharacterized. Lineage: Eukaryota; Metazoa; Chordata; Mammalia; Primates; Hominidae. The record is from RefSeq and is a predicted model, not a curated record. The transcript has 2 exons.